RNAcentral lists this ribosomal RNA (408 nucleotides) under uncultured bacterium. Its description in RNAcentral is "partial 16S ribosomal RNA". It matches the Rfam family "Bacterial small subunit ribosomal RNA", at positions 29 to 526 of the family's 1533-position model. The record is from RNAcentral.
AGUGAACGCUGGCGGCGUGCCUAAUACAUGCAAGUCGAACGGAGUGGCGCACGGGUGUGUAAUAUAUAGCUAAUCUGCCCCUUGCUGGAGGACAACUGCUAGAAAUGAUUGCUAAUACCCCAUAGCAAGGGAUGAGACCAUAACGGAACAGCUAGUCGGUGGGGUAACGGCCUACCGAGGCUAUGACGCGUAACUGGGCUGAGGGGAUGAUCAGUCACAUUGGAAGUGAGACACGGUCGAGACUCCUAGGGGAGGCAGCAGUAGGGUAUAUUGCGCAAUGGGUGAUACCCUGACGGAGCAACGCCGGGUGGAGGAUGACACUUUGCGGAGCGUAAACUCCUUUUGUUAGGGAAGCGGUACCUAACGAAUAAGCACCGGCUAACUCCGUGCCAGCAGCCGCGGUAAUUC